Small nucleolar RNA from Labrus bergylta (ballan wrasse), 207 nucleotides. Its record names the gene U3. It matches the Rfam family "Small nucleolar RNA U3". Rfam says of the family: Small nucleolar RNAs (snoRNAs) are involved in the processing and modification of rRNA in the nucleolus. The record is from Ensembl. Lineage: Eukaryota; Metazoa; Chordata; Actinopteri; Labriformes; Labridae.
AAGACUAUACUUUCAGGGAUCAUUUCUUUAGUUGUGGACUUGAGAAAUGUGUUUCGUAAGAGUUUGGUCUCGCUGUCCACAACGAAGAGUUCAGAUGUUUCCUUCAGAGCAGGAAACUGGCGGGAAGAUUUUCUUUUUUCGCUGCUGUUGAAGAUUGUUCAGAGAUUCUGAAAGACUCUCUGAUGGAGGAAACAUGAUCUGAGUGGG